AACGAACGCUGGCGGCAUGCCUAACACAUGCAAGUCGAACGAGACCUUCGGGUCUAGUGGCGCACGGGUGCGUAACGCGUGGGAACCUGCCCUUAGGUUCGGAAUAACUCCCCGAAAGGGGUGCUAAUACCGGAUAAUGUCUUCGGACCAAAGAUUUAUCGCCUUUGGAUGGGCCCGCGUUGGAUUAGCUAGUUGGUAGGGGAAAAGCCUACCAAGGCGACGAUCCAUAGCUGGUCUGAGAGGAUGGUCAGCCACACUGGGACUGAGACACGGCCCAGACUACUCCGGGAGGCAGCAGUGGGGGAUAUUGGACCAUGGGCGAAAGCCUGAUCCAGCAAUGCCGCGUGAGUGAUGAAGGCCUUAGGGUUGUAAAGCUCUUUUAACCGGGAUGAUAAUGACAGUACCGGGAGAAUAAGCUCCGGCUAACUCCGUG
Molecule: ribosomal RNA, 433 nt
Filed under: uncultured bacterium
Lineage: Bacteria
Description: partial 16S ribosomal RNA
Rfam family: Bacterial small subunit ribosomal RNA
Source: RNAcentral